UACAGAAUCCCCAAGCGUUAUCCGGAUUUAUUGGGCGUAAAGGGUCCGUAGGCGGUUUAGUAAGUCUGAUGUUAAAGCCCUUGGGCUUAACCUAAGGAAUGCAUCAGAAACUGCUAAACUAGAGGGCGUUAGAGGCUGAUAGAACGCUCGGUGUAGGGGUGAAAUCCGUUGAUAUCGAGCGGAAUACCAAAAGCGAAGGCAUUCAGCUGGGGCGACCCUGACGCUGAGGGACGAAAGCAUGGGUAGCAAAAAGGAUUAGAUACCCGCGUA
Molecule: ribosomal RNA, 270 nt
Filed under: uncultured prokaryote
Description: partial 16S ribosomal RNA
Rfam family: Bacterial small subunit ribosomal RNA
Source: RNAcentral